CGCGAUAGCUCAGCCGGUAGAGCAUCCGCCUCGUAAGCGGAAGGCCACGGGUUCGAAUCCCGUUCGCG
This 68-nucleotide transfer RNA is filed under the name Bifidobacterium pullorum. It matches the Rfam family "tRNA". Rfam says of the family: Transfer RNA (tRNA) molecules are approximately 80 nucleotides in length. Their secondary structure includes four short double-helical elements and three loops (D, anti-codon, and T loops). Lineage: Bacteria; Bacillati; Actinomycetota; Actinomycetes; Bifidobacteriales; Bifidobacteriaceae. The record is from RNAcentral.